This is a long non-coding RNA of Tupaia belangeri chinensis (Chinese tree shrew), 646 nucleotides long. RefSeq lists it as uncharacterized. NCBI's taxonomy places the organism in Eukaryota, Metazoa, Chordata, Mammalia, Scandentia, Tupaiidae. The record is from RefSeq and is a predicted model, not a curated record. The transcript is spliced from 3 exons.
AGACACUUAACUAAUGCUUCCAUCGGAUUCUCAAAGAAACCAGGUCCUCAAGAAAAACUACUCCAUAACGAAAACACAUCACACUAUGCCAGAGUUAAGCUUAGUCAGGAAGACUGGACGAGGGGUGAGAGACCUGCUCAGGAUGGAGCUAAGGAAAGAAACCAACCAGCAUCAUUGAGGGACUGGAUCACGAGGGCAUCUGGAGAGAGGCCAAGUGCACCAUAAGGAGAAGAUGAAGAUGCUUUCCCUCCAUCUGUUUUCAUGCUAUCAAACAACACGCUUAAUGGAAAUUGCCUUAAAGCUUCCCACCGAAUAUUCUUCUUCUUGGGCUGUACUCUGAAAUUAUCUGUGAAUUUCCAAGGAACAUUUGAGUUAAAUUCGAAUAAAAAUUUAACAGCCUCAUGAUGGCAGUCGGGGAGGGAAGUGAUCUACAACAUAUAUUUGCCAACAAUCCUAAUUGUGAGACACUUCCAGGUCUGCAUCCUUAGACUCACAGGAGCCUCUGCAAGCCCUCUGAUGGUAACUGGUGUGCAAGCAGCAGCACAUCGUCUGUGCAUUCAGCACACUUUCACUGAGGCUCUCCUUGGUGCCAGACACUGCUCUAGAUGCUGAAUAUCCAUCACGAGCCACCAAAGAUCCCUGAGAC